ACAGAGGUCUCAAGCGUUGUUCGGAAUCACUGGGCGUAAAGCGUGCGUAGGCUGUUUCGUAAGUCGUGUGUGAAAGGCAGGGGCUCAACCCCUGGAUUGCACAUGAUACUGCGAGACUAGAGUAAUGGAGGGGGAACCGGAAUUCUCGGUGUAGCAGUGAAAUGCGUAGAUAUCGAGAGGAACACUCGUGGCGAAGGCGGGUUCCUGGACAUUAACUGACGCUGAGGCACGAAGGCCAGGGGAGCGAAAGG
This 251-nucleotide ribosomal RNA is filed under the name uncultured bacterium. Its description in RNAcentral is "partial 16S ribosomal RNA". It matches the Rfam family "Bacterial small subunit ribosomal RNA", at positions 525 to 775 of the family's 1533-position model. The record is from RNAcentral.